UUAGCAAUGAUUCUCCAGCCAUUUUUUUUACCUGGCAAGUCUAACUAGAUCUUUAUCUCUUGCUUGCUUUCAUUCUUUUCAGCAACUCGCCAGACUCGAACUGGCAGGGCUCUGAUCAAGCCUAUUUUUCCGACAAUAGAGUUGCUUUUGGUACGCAGUUCGAGAGGCUUAAAUUUCAGCCUUCCUACAUCUGCGGGCAGACCGCUUAAAGGAAUCCUC
Molecule: long non-coding RNA, 219 nt
Filed under: Nicotiana benthamiana
Lineage: Eukaryota; Viridiplantae; Streptophyta; Magnoliopsida; Solanales; Solanaceae
Description: long non-coding RNA (NBEN_LNC011768)
Source: RNAcentral